This 464-nucleotide ribosomal RNA is filed under the name uncultured bacterium. Its description in RNAcentral is "partial 16S ribosomal RNA". It matches the Rfam family "Bacterial small subunit ribosomal RNA", at positions 339 to 795 of the family's 1533-position model. The record is from RNAcentral.
CUACGGGGUGCUGCAGUGGGGAAUAUUGCACAAUGGGCGCAGGCCUGAUGCAGCCAUGCCGCGUGUAUGAAGAAGGCCUUCGGGUUGUAAAGUACUUUCAGCGGGGAGGGAGGGAGUAAAGUUAAUACCUUUGCUCAUUGACGUUACCCGCAGAAGAAGCACCGGCUAACUCCGUGCCAGCAGCCGCGGUAAUACGGAGGGUGCAAGCGUUAAUCGGAAUUACUGGGCGUAAAGCGCACGCAGGCGGUUUGUUAAGUCAGAUGUGAAAUCCCCGGGCUCAACCUGGGAACUGCAUCUGAUACUGGCAAGCUUGAGUCUCGUAGAGGGGGGUAGAAUUCCAGGUGUAGCGGUGAAAUGCGUAGAGAUCUGGAGGAAUACCGGUGGCGAAGGCGGCCCCCUGGACGAAGACUGACGCUCAGGUGCGAAAGCGUGGGGAGCAAACAGGAUUAGAUACCCCGGUAGUC